AGUGAACGCUGGCGGUAGGCCUAACACAUGCAAGUCGAACGGCAGCACAGUAAGAGCUUGCUCUUACGGGUGGCGAGUGGCGGACGGGUGAGGAAUACAUCGGAAUCUACUUUUUCGUGGGGGAUAACGUAGGGAAACUUACGCUAAUACCGCAUACGACCUACGGGUGAAAGCAGGGGAUCUUCGGACCUUGCGCGAUUGAAUGAGCCGAUGUCGGAUUAGCUAGUUGGCGGGGUAAAGGCCCACCAAGGCGACGAUCCGUAGCUGGUCUGAGAGGAUGAUCAGCCACACUGGAACUGAGACACGGUCCAGACUCCUACGGGAGGCAGCAGUGGGGAAUAUUGGACAAUGGGCGCAAGCCUGAUCCAGCCAUACCGCGUGGGUGAAGAAGGCCUUCGGGUUGUGAAGCCCUUUUGUUGGGAAAGAAAAGCAGCAGGUUAAUACCCCGCUGUUCUGACGGUACCCAAAGAAUAAGCACCGGCUAACUUCGUG
This 492-nucleotide ribosomal RNA is filed under the name uncultured bacterium. Its description in RNAcentral is "partial 16S ribosomal RNA". It matches the Rfam family "Bacterial small subunit ribosomal RNA", at positions 29 to 507 of the family's 1533-position model. The record is from RNAcentral.